GGACCCGUAGUUCAGAUUGGUUAGAACGCCGGCCUGUCAAGCCGGAGGUCGCGAGUUCAAGUCUCGUCGGGUCCGCCA
RNAcentral lists this transfer RNA (78 nucleotides) under Candidatus Poribacteria bacterium. RNAcentral's name for it is "tRNA-Asp". It matches the Rfam family "tRNA". From Rfam's summary of the family: Transfer RNA (tRNA) molecules are approximately 80 nucleotides in length. Their secondary structure includes four short double-helical elements and three loops (D, anti-codon, and T loops). Further hydrogen bonds mediate the characteristic L-shaped molecular structure. tRNAs have two regions of fundamental functional importance: the anti-codon, which is responsible for specific mRNA codon recognition, and the 3' end, to which the tRNAs corresponding amino acid is attached (by aminoacyl-tRNA synthetases). tRNAs cope with the degeneracy of the genetic code in two manners: having more than one tRNA (with a specific anti-codon) for a particular amino acid; and 'wobble' base-pairing, i.e. permitting non-standard base-pairing at the 3rd anti-codon position. The record is from RNAcentral. Lineage: Bacteria; Candidatus Poribacteria.